AAAGGCUGCGGUAUUUUGACCGUACAAAGGUAGCAUAAUCAUUAGUUUUUUAAUUGGAAACUCGUAUGAAUGGUUAAACGAAGCAUAAGCUGUUUCAAAGAAAAUUUUAUAGAAGUUAAUUUUUUAGUAAAAAAGCUAAAAUAAAAUUAAAAGACGAGAAGACCCUAUAGAGUUUCAUACUAAUUUAAUUAUAGUUUAUAAAUAAUAAUUAAAUCUUUAGUUAUUUUUGUAUUUUGUUGGGGUGACAAUAAAAUUUAAAUAUCUUUUAUUAUUUUUAAAACAAUGAUUAUUGAUUAAUUGAUCCAUUUUUAGUGAUUAUAAGAUUAAAUUACCUUAGGGAUAACAGCG
RNAcentral lists this ribosomal RNA (348 nucleotides) under Dynatosoma reciprocum. Its description in RNAcentral is "partial 16S ribosomal RNA". Lineage: Eukaryota; Metazoa; Arthropoda; Insecta; Diptera; Mycetophilidae. The record is from RNAcentral.